CAAAUCCUCUUUUAGGGGUAGAGAUAUAACCAUUAAAACACAAAUAAAAAUCUUUAGAGAAAUACUUUUAACUUUUUAAGAACAAAAUAAGAAACAAUUUUGAAAUAUAAAGACUCAUUUCCUGUUUAAUAAAAUAAAAACAAUUGUGCUAGGUCUCACUGGAAUUGAUUAUGUCUCAGUAGAUACCACAUCCAUUCAAUCUUGCAUGAAGAUCCAUGCAAAAAUUUCUUUUUAUCUUUUCUUUUUUCUUCUUAUAUACUAGUAUGUUAAUUGACUGUGACUUGGUUAAAUUUCAUUCGGUUGAGACUCGGCCACAUCUAUCCCUAAUAGUAAAGCACGGAUUGACUUCGUGGGUUCACCGUCACAAUACGUUUCUCCCCGUGAAUUUACAAUUUCAGUUUUUUCACCUAUAUUAUUUUCUACAUCCGAGGUGGUAGUAUUUCAUCCAAAAACGUUUAAUUCCAGAAUUUUAUCCGUUCACGUGUGGGCCGCUUGCCCUGUCUGCUUCGCUGUCGCUGGUCCGACUCCCUCGCUAUCAUCGGCCCGUGUUGUAAAAAAACGUUUCGCUGUUUACUCCUCUCACCCAUCUCCUUCUUUGACCCACACACGAACAAGCUAGGGUUGGAGCCGCCGCCCCUCCGGCCUGCCCGCCGGAGCUCCGUCCGCCACUCUUCUCCAUCUUCUCCCCCACCUCUACUCCCCCAGGCCCAACUGUGGUGGAUGACAUGCCCGCCGGCGCUCCAUACUCCCCUCUUCUCCAUCUUUCCCCUCGCCAUCUCCCUCCUCACUCCCUGUUCCAUCCCCACCCCUACUGCUGCAGGCUCAACCAUGGUGGUCAACACGGGGAUGUGAGCGUGCACGGGCGGCGUCGGUGGACAAGAGAUGCGUAGAGGAUCUCAAGUGCUGCAGACGCUGGCGAGGUGAGAAUGAUAUUACACUGUUGAUGGAGCGCAAGUAGCACAAGUUAAUCAUGUGCAUUGCCCAUUAUUGAAUAUCAGGUUCAAUGUUCUUGAUUUCUUAUUUGAGCUGUUACUCAUUACUUUUUUAAUCAGGUACAAUAGUCAACUCCAUCCCCUGAUCUCAAGAUAGCUCUAUUAAAUCUCUUGAUGGUAUAACAGGGCAUUGGCAGGAAUUCUUGAUGAUUGAGGAAAUUAUGGCAGGCAUUCUUGAUGGUAUAUUAAAUCUUGGUUUGAUGGGUACUUUUGUGAAGAAACUAUUGAGUCCCAGGCCUGAUGAUUAUUACACGGCAUGAGAAAUUCAAGAAUUGAAUGAGAAGAGUGAAGACGACUAGCAGGUUGGGUUCUCUAAGGAAUGCCCAUACGAACUCGCUAUGGCGAGGAUGACUCAAUGAAUGGACAUGUCGAUCAUGCUCAGCCAGUUGCACAGUUAGAAGUUGGAAUCGAACCCGAAAAGUUUGUGGAGUCCGUGCUGACAACCCUACCAGCUGGGAGGUAGGAACUACCUUUUCUCCCUAUUUUGAUAUGCAAGAUUGAAUAUUAAGGCAUUAUUUGAAAUCUAUUUACCGAGGCAGGGACAUGAGAAAAACUAUUUUUUCUCCUGUUGCAACACACUGGCCGAAGGUUACAAGUGUGCAAACCCGUAUUGUUGUUUAUAAAGAUGGAAUUUAUUAGUCGUUUUUGGCUAUCGAAUUGGUGAUGCAAUCCGUCCCCACAUCUGUGUCUUCACCACUUCGUCCUCCCGCACAAUCAGCAGAACAGAGUAGCUGCAGCGAUUUGGCCAUUCAUCUCUUCGAGUGAUUCAAACCUAGGAAGCCUGCUACUUGCGCAAGCAACAUGACUCUUCCUUCAAGGAAAUCUAAUUAUCUAGGUAUAUGGAAAGGAGGCAAAUUAUGUAACUAUUUGGGCGUACUCAUGCUCUGCUAUGCAGAUUGAGGAGAAAGAGUUAUUUUAUUGUGAUGAUGAUUAAUUUUUUCAUCUUGUGAUCUUCUUUGCUCAAGUCAGCCUACAUAUGUUAUCUGUUUGUGUCCCGGAGCGCGGCUUUGGUGAGGGGCUGCACGGCGUGGAAGUUGGGGAGGAGGAGCGCCACGGCGAGGGUGGAGGCGAGCACGAUGAGCGGCAGGAAGAGCCCGCCGUGGCGCGCCAGGGGGAGGGUGACGUCCUUCCAAGAGCGACCGCCAGAGGCUGCCGAUCCGGAGCAGUUGAUGGCCACCGCGGCCGCACGGGCGAGGGACGCAAGAACGAUGUGGUGACCUUCUUCGAUGUGUGCUAUUUUGUCUCUCUUCCUUGCGUCUCAUGCUUUGAUUUGGGUGUUCUUUGGUUUGUUCAUAUUAUCACUACGUUCUCGAGUGACUAAUCAGUGCUGCUAGAAUAUUAGAAAGAUGUGCGUAUAGAUUUUUGGCCUGUUCUUCUUCAUUGAUGCAGGUGUGUAAGGAAUUGGUUCGAAACUUCGAAUAAUGAUUUUCUGUACAACCUAUCUGCCUGAGUCCCAUGCAUUGAUUUUUGCAACAUUGCAAAGAUCUAUCUCUAUUUCCUGUUGAUGAGAGAGGAACACGAAUAUUAGUUGUUCAGUACUUCAUGCAAUGAUACAACUACAAUCUGCAGCAUACUACUUGGCCUUGCAUGUAGUCUGAAAAUGAUUCCCGGCCUGUAUAUUUGCCUAUGGAGGCAUGCAAGAUUGUUGAAGGGCAAAUGUACUCUAAGAAGCUGAAUGAUAAACCAGGUUACCAACAUAUGUAGAGCUUCCUUUUGGGAUUUGUGCAGGCCAUGGUCUGGAGGACAUGUCCGAUUCACUAACUCAAUUUCAAGGAAACAGUGGAAAGGCAGAAAAAGGAAACCACAUGGAUUUAGAAAUUUCAGCAUUGUAGAGCUCAGUUGAAAAGGAAAACGAGAUUUAUAACAAUCAACUAGAGUGGUGAUUCGAUUUUUGACAAUUGGUACUUUGGUUGUGUGGUCGAUGAAGACAUGAGAUUGAUUUAGAUGGGGCAGUAGGUUUGCUCGGAGAGGAGGUGAGAAGGACGGAGAUAGAAGAAGAACCUUGAGAUGAUAGUGAUAUUGUUGACUCAAUACUUUAUUGGCUCUACUUUGUGUCGAUCUUUCAGGUGCAUGAAUAGUAAUUUGUGCAAAACUACGCUUUCCCUUGUCAUUUGAUAAUUGUUUUUCUUUAUGGUGCUCAUGACAUAUUUUUUUAUCUACA
Molecule: non-coding RNA, 3153 nt
Organism: Triticum urartu
Lineage: Eukaryota; Viridiplantae; Streptophyta; Magnoliopsida; Poales; Poaceae
Source: RefSeq, a predicted model, not a curated record